GGAUUAGCUAGUUGGUGAGGUAAUGGCUCACCAAGGCUACGAUCCGUAACUGGUCUGAGAGGAUGAUCAGUCACACUGGAACUGAGACACGGUCCAGACUCCUACGGGAGGCAGCAGUGGGGAAUAUUGGACAAUGGGCGAAAGCCUGAUCCAGCCAUGCCGCGUGUGUGAAGAAGGUCUUCGGAUUGUAAAGCACUUUAAGUUGGGAGGAAGGGCAUUAACCUAAUACGUUAGUGUCUUGACGUUACCGACAGAAUAAGCACCGGCUAACUCUGUGCCAGCAGCCGCGGUAAUACAGAGGGUGCAAGCGUUAAUCGGAAUUACUGGGCGUAAAGCGCGCGUAGGUGGUUUGUUAAGUUGAAUGUGAAAUCCCCGGGCUCAACCUGGGAACUGCAUCCAAAACUGGCAAGCUAGAGUAUGGUAGAGGGUAGUGGAAUUUCCUGUGUAGCGGUGAAAUGCGUAGAUUUUGGAAGGAACACCAGUGGCGAAGGCGACUACCUGGACUGAUACUGACACUGAGGUGCGAAAGCGUGGGGAGCUAACAAAGGGAGAUACCCUGGUAGUCCACGCCGUAAACGAUGUCAAAGAGGCGUCCGGGUUUCGAGCUCUAAGUAGUGCAGCUUAGUACAAGGACCGAAU
This 639-nucleotide ribosomal RNA is filed under the name Pseudomonas fragi. RNAcentral describes it as "bacterial SSU rRNA". It matches the Rfam family "Bacterial small subunit ribosomal RNA", at positions 238 to 864 of the family's 1533-position model. Lineage: Bacteria; Pseudomonadati; Pseudomonadota; Gammaproteobacteria; Pseudomonadales; Pseudomonadaceae. The record is from RNAcentral.